UACGAAGGGGGCUAGCGUUGUUCGGAAUCACUGGGCGUAAAGCGCGCGUAGGCGGAUUGUUAAGUCAGGGGUGAAAUCCCGAGGCUCAACCUCGGAACUGCCUUUGAUACUGGCGAUCUUGAGUCCGGGAGAGGUGAGUGGAACUCCUAGUGUAGAGGUGAAAUUCGUAGAUAUUAGGAAGAACACCAGUGACGAAGGCGGCUCACUGGCCCGGUACUGACGCUGAGGCGCGAAAGCGUGGGGAGCAAACAGGAUUAGAUA
RNAcentral lists this ribosomal RNA (261 nucleotides) under uncultured bacterium. RNAcentral describes it as "partial 16S ribosomal RNA". It matches the Rfam family "Bacterial small subunit ribosomal RNA", at positions 524 to 784 of the family's 1533-position model. The record is from RNAcentral.